GAUGAACGCUGGCGGCGUGCCUAAUACAUGCAAGUCGAGCGAACGGACGAGAAGCUUGCUUCUCUGAUGUUAGCGGCGGACGGGUGAGUAACACGUGGAUAACCUACCUAUAAGACUGGGAUAACUUCGGGAAACCGGAGCUAAUACCGGAUGAUAUUUUGAACCGCAUGGUUCAAAAGUGAAAGACGGUCUUGCUGUCAUUUAUAGAUGGAUCCGCGCUGCAUUAGCUAGUUGGUAAGGUAACGGCUUACCAAGGCAACGAUGCAUAGCCGACCUGAGAGGGUGAUCGGCCACACUGGAACUGAGACACGGUCCAGACUCCUACGGGAGGCAGCAGUAGGGAAUCUUCCGCAAUGGGCGAAAGCCUGACGGAGCAACGCCGCGCGAGUGAUGAAGGUCUUCGGAUCGUAAAACUCUGUUAUUAGGGAAGAACAUAUGUGUAAGUAACUGUGCACAUCUUGACGGUACCUAAUCAGAAAGCCACGGCUAACUACGUG
RNAcentral lists this ribosomal RNA (497 nucleotides) under uncultured bacterium. Its description in RNAcentral is "partial 16S ribosomal RNA". It matches the Rfam family "Bacterial small subunit ribosomal RNA", at positions 28 to 507 of the family's 1533-position model. The record is from RNAcentral.